RNAcentral lists this ribosomal RNA (253 nucleotides) under uncultured bacterium. RNAcentral describes it as "partial 16S ribosomal RNA". It matches the Rfam family "Bacterial small subunit ribosomal RNA", at positions 524 to 776 of the family's 1533-position model. The record is from RNAcentral.
UACGGAGGGUGCAAGCGUUGCUCGGAAUCACUGGGCGUAAAGAGCGUGUAGGCGGUUUCGUAUGUCUGACGUGAAAGCCCCGGGCUCACCCCGGGAAGUGCGUUGGAAACUGCGAGACUAGAGUCCCGGAGAGGAAGGUGGAAGUCCAGGUGUAGCGGUGAAAUGCGUAGAUAUCUGGAAGAACACCGGUGGCGAAGGCGGCCUUCUGGACGGUGACUGACGCUGAGACGCGAAAGCGUGGGGAGCAAACAGG